RNAcentral lists this ribosomal RNA (441 nucleotides) under uncultured bacterium. RNAcentral's name for it is "partial 16S ribosomal RNA". It matches the Rfam family "Bacterial small subunit ribosomal RNA", at positions 338 to 795 of the family's 1533-position model. The record is from RNAcentral.
CCUACGGGUGGCAGCAGUGGGGAAUAUUGCACAAUGGGGGGAACCCUGAUGCAGCGACGCCGCGUGGGUGAAGGAGUAUUUCGGUAUGUAAAGCCCUAUCAGCAGGGAAGAACAAUGACGGUACCUGACUAAGAAGCACCGGCUAAAUACGUGCCAGCAGCCGCGGUAAUACGUAUGGUGCAAGCGUUAUCCGGAUUUACUGGGUGUAAAGGGAGCGCAGGCGGCGCGUUAAGCCUGGUGUGAAAGCCCGCGGCCCAACCGCGGGACUGCUUUGGAAACUGUGGAGCUAGAGUGCUGGAGAGGUAAGUGGAAUUCCUAGUGUAGCGGUGAAAUGCGUAGAUAUUAGGAGGAACACCAGUGGCGAAGGCGGCUUACUGGACAGUAACUGACGUUGAGGCUCGAAAGCGUGGGGAGCAAACAGGAUUAGAUACCCGGGUAGUC